AGGUACCACUGUACUGUACUGUAAAAUAAAUAAGAUGGUAUUGUAGAUGAUAAAAAAUAAAAUUGAAUUUUUUUCUUACCUGCACUGAUAGUCAUUGUUUGGAUGGGGGGCUUUUAUCCAUUUCCACACUCACACAAUCAGUAGCUGAACAGGGUUUCACACAGUCACAAAAACAAAUGAACUGAAAGAGCCUCUAAAACAAAAACUCCAAACUUAAUCCGUUCUGGAAGUGUUUGACUUCCGAAAUGUUCAAAAACUAAGGCACAGCUUCUGAUUGGUGCAGGCGCCCCGGAAACAAUAGCCGACAACCACAUUGGACUUUCGGCUUCCGAAAAACAUUCAAAAACCGGAACACUUACUUCUGGGUUUUCAGUGUUUGAGAACCAAGGUGUUUGAUUCCAACAGAUUCCACACGAAAAACGCUUAUGUCCCUGUGGAGAUGGCAGUACUGAAUCGGUGGCGCAUGCCCUCCUGGCUUGCACUCUUUAUAAAGACUUGAGGAAUGAGAUUAUCACCCCUCUUUUAUUGUCCAUUCCGGGUCGCCCAACCACUGCCACAGUCUCCUUUCUCUUGGCACAUCAAGAUGAGCAGGUGACGGCAAAAGUUGCAAGGUUUUUAGCUGGGGCAAUCAGAAUAAGAUCUACUAUUUGACUAUUGAUUCAAAACCCUAAAAUGUAUUUUAUAUAAUGGAUUUUUUAUUUCUAUUCUUUGUAUUGUUGUUUUAUUGCUAUGGCCAAUGGCUGACGCAAACAAAGAUUCAUUCAUUCAUUCAACCAAGGCGUUUGAGAACCAAGGUACCACUGUACAGCAGAACUGAGUUGCACAAGUAUAGCUGUCCCUGCUGCUGCUCCUUGUGCAGUCCAGCAGGGGCAGGCUGUCCCCUCUCAGUUGUCAGCGCUUGUGUGUGCCUCAAGCUCUUUUGCUGAUGGGCAGUAGACAGAGAAGCUGAGCCAGGAGGAUGCACUCCUAAAAUCCUGCCCCCAAGGCUUCUGCCACCUGCCCACAUGCUCCCAAAGGAAGCCCAGCAGAUGUUUCGGGUGCUACUGAGAUGGUCCCUGGAGCCACAGUCAGACCGGACCUGUUUUGGACCAGACUGACCACGAGAGCGCUGUUCACACAGGUGUGUUUGGAGCAAUGAGAAGUACAGGGGUGGGCUGGGGGUGCAGGGUGAGAGUUAAAAGGCUUAAAACAGACUCCUGUGGUCUUUUGACAGCAGUCCGAGACAGAAACUCAACGGACUGUGCUUUCCCUAGCACUGUAUUCAAUUGAUUGUUGUGGUUUUGAAAAAUCUAGAAGAUUAUCUAACAGGAAAUCCUGCUAGGGUAAGGGUUUUUUUAUUGUAAGGUGGGGCUCAAGGUGGGGUUACAUGGAUCUCCCCCUCCUCAUUUAGUCCCCACAGCAACCCUGCGAAGUAGGCUAGGCUGAGAAGAAUGACUGGCCCAAGGUCACCCAGCGAGCUUUGUGGCCAAAUUUGAACCCUGGCCACCCAGGUCCUCUAACCAUUACACAACGCUGAGGUUUUGAGUUCCCAAACUGGGAAGGUGUGUGGGCCUGCUCUCACACCCUUGAAGAGCAGGCUGAAUUCGCAAGGGGGUCUUUUUCACAGCAUCAAACCAAACAAGAUGACCUGCUAACGUCUGCAUGCAGCUCUUAAAGGCGUUGUGCAGAGGCUGCUUAGAAAUUUGGCAACCCUAACUGAGCAAGUGGCUUAAGAAACACAGUCAGCUGUUGAAUAAGUCACUCAGUACAGACUAACCCACUUCAUACAAGUUUUGGCAAUGUUCCUGAACGAGCCCUUUUUGGGAUGCGGUAGCUAAGCAAAUUAAUACAGUCCUGAAAUACCAGGAGCGUUUUUUUCAUCCUUGCGGCUGCAAUCCCGUCCCUGCUUAACCUGCAUGAGUGAGCCCCAAGGGAAUGCACUGUUACAGCACAAAUCUACGUUUAUUUACCUGGAAGUAAAUAAACUACGGUGUUCAAUGGGGAUUGCUCUCCUCAGGUAAGCAUGCAGAGGAUUACGAGCCUUUAUUUACUCUAAAUCUGUAUUUCUGUCACCUGGGUGCUUAAUCCUAAGGGACGGAAAGCAUGGCUUGCUAGAGAAACCUUGAAAAAGAGAAACUAGGGCACCAGCAGGAGGAAAUAUUAAACCCAGGGUUCCUCCAGAUGACCUUAUUGUGCAUCAUCCUGAUUUGAUCGCACAAAGCUUAGAUGGUAGUUGAACAAGGUCAGGUCUUUAAUGUUUUGAUUUCCUUUUGUGGGGUGGUUAUAUGACAAUAAGCAGUCCUCCCGAUUUGCUUGAGGAUUGUUUACAUGUCUUAUUGUUUAUUUAACCUACACUUUUGAGGGCCUUUCCCUGUAAUUUUCCAAACUGCAAGAAGUCUGUCGCUAUUUAAGUGGAUUUGUUGGGCUAGGGCGACAGGGCGCUUUAAUAAACUUUUAGUACACAAACCU
This is a non-coding RNA of Podarcis lilfordi (Lilford's wall lizard), 2448 nucleotides long. Lineage: Eukaryota; Metazoa; Chordata; Lepidosauria; Squamata; Lacertidae. The record is from the annotation of a GenBank genome assembly.